Zonotrichia albicollis (white-throated sparrow) is the source of this 4612-nucleotide long non-coding RNA. RefSeq lists it as uncharacterized. NCBI's taxonomy places the organism in Eukaryota, Metazoa, Chordata, Aves, Passeriformes, Passerellidae. The record is from RefSeq and is a predicted model, not a curated record.
GGUUUUAGCUUUUAUAUUUUUCGGGUUCUGUACUGCUUUAGUGUGUAGUUCUGAACUUCACAUUAAGGGAUAGUUAGCUGUCGUCACAGAAUAGGUGGACAAAACAAUUCCUUCUAUAGCUGGAGGCCGAGGAAAAUUGAUCCAAAUCUCAGACCCAAAAGCAUAAACAACAGUGGACCGAAGAGAGGAAAACAAAAAGGAUGUGGCUUCCAAACCUAGAGCUAUAAUUGGACAAUUAACUCCAAUAUGCUAAUGGACUAGAACUUAAAAAGUGAGAGGUCUCGUGAUCGGUCAUCCAUUUUGUGACUAUUUAGGAUUGAUCUUGGGUGUAGCCCUGGCUGGGCUCUUGUGCUGCCCAAGGUGUAUCCAUUGAGGCCUUUUAAUAAAUACCUACUUUAUUCUUUACCUGCAUCUAGCCUCUGUUCUAGGUCAGCCUUCACAAGGCAUCAGUGGCUUCUGCCCCAGCCGGCAGCUGGCCAAUGUGGUGGCAGGCAUGCAGGAGCUGGCCCCGCUGCCGGCGCAGGAUCUGUGCCACAGGCACCUCACUGUCUUCUGUCACUGUGAUGGAGUCCUCGUCUGCACCGCCUGCAUGAGCAUCGUGCCCACCCCACUGUGCUGCUCGUGGAGGCUGCUCGCUGCUACAGGGAGUAUAAACCCCUUUUCCCUGCAGAAGCAGUUUGAAGCUUCCCAAAAAACCCUGCAAGAGGAGGACAAGUGACAUGCUGGGCUGACUGAGGCAGCAGAGGAGACAAGACAGGAGAUGCUGACUCGAGGCAGGGCUGACAAGCAGAAGCUGCAGGCCAUGCUGAAGGGGCUCUGCUGGGUGCUGAGUGACCAGGAAUCACAGUUUCUUUCCUGGUUCCAUUGCCUGUGCUGGAGGCUGGAGGAACAGCAACAUGGUGAAGCUGCCGAGAUGUCACGGAUCCAGCAAUGCCACGCAGAGCUCCAGGCCAAGUGCCAGCAACCAGAUGGUGACCUGCUAUGAGAUGUCUGAACCAUCUUGAACAGGUAUUGAAGCCAAAAGUAUCACCAGUUUUGGCCCGAAGCACUCCAUUUUUCGGAUCAUCUUCUCUCCCUGUGUUCUUUUCCUCUGGGAUUUUUGCUUUGGAGCUGGAGGGGGUUGAUGGUUAAUCCAAAACUUGGUGGUGAUGGGGGAAUCUUCCAUCGUAUCUUGCAGGAAUGGCAGCCUUGCCCACGUGAGUAAAGAUGUCCCAGUGGUUUUCUAGCAAUGAGGAAAGGAAAUUUGGCAUUAAACACCCCAAUUUACUCCUCUCGAGGUGCACAGAAAGGAAGGUACAGCCAUCACUGUUGAUGUCAGAGCUGGAAAUAGCUUGAGGAUUUUACUUGAAAAACCAACAUGCUGGUAGAGGCAGUGACAGUUUAAAGGUGCUCGGAGGGUAAAAACUGGGAAAAAAGGAAUUAAUUAAGCAAAAAUGCAGAUUGGCUGGAAAGUGAAAGCAUCACAGAUGCUCAUUUACUUAAAAGAAAAUCAGGAAUUUAUUCCUGAUUAGCCUUAAGGGAUAGAAGACUGAAGGUGGGAGGUGCAGAAUGCUGUUGAUGCUUAAUUAGCACCCAAAUUAGGACACUAAGUUGGGUGAUGCCCUGAUGAAGGGCAUUGUGUCUCCCAGCUCAGGUGGUCUUGCCUUCUCUGUGCAGCAGGGUGGAUAUGGGGAAGGCCCAGGGCGACAUCCAGAGAUAAAAAUCUUUGGGGUUGUCUUCUUUUUCCAAACUUCUCGGAGUGCUCUCUGGAGGAAGACUCAGAGGGAUAUGGAGAGGUGAGUCUGGCUUCAGGGACUUACUGAACUCCCAUUUGGGUUCAGUGCCUGGAGCUGCUACUCUGGUGCAAUUUUUGGAGGUGAUAUUCCAAUGCAUAGAGGCUCAUGAACAUCCCUCUCCCUGCCAGCAACCAUGACCCUGGAUCCAGCCCCAGCUCACCCCAAAUCCUGGUGUCACUGGAUGGCUGGACUGCAGGCUGCCAGGAAUCACCCCCAGCUCCUCUGCCCUCAGGAAUGGAGAGUUUUGAGUCUCUCUGCUGUGCUUUGGGUCAGCAGGACUUUGUGGGGAGCUGUCACUGGGCCAUGGAGGUUUGUCCUGCUCCUGAUGGGGCAUUGGAGAUUGGCUGGGGAAUUUGUGUCCCAUAAGAGCUGCUUUGGUCUCAGCCCCAAAUGUGGGGUUUGGGGCCGUGGGGCAGUGCUGGGGCAGCUGCAGGCUCUCACCUGGCCCAGCCCAUGUCUCUGCCCCACAGCCACACUGUCCAACACAUGGAGGUGGCUGUGGAUUAUGCUGGCGGGCGGGUGGCUUUCUGUGAUGCUGAUAGUCAGACUGAAGUCUUUGCCUUUCCCCCGCCCACUUUCACAGGUGAAUGACUCUGGCCACUGCUCUGGCUGGGCAAGGGGCCAGCUUUGCUCACACUCUGUCCCUGAUUUCCCCAAAAAUCCACUCUGAACCCUGCAGGUGCAAACACUUCCACCACCCCAGCAAACACUCCACUCAACAACAAACAGCCCCCACUCUUCCCCCAGACCCAUUUCAUUUUCCUUAUAACAUCUAAUUUAACAAUCAUAUUUCUCUCUUUUGCUUCUCAGUGGGAGAACAGAGGUAUUUCCAGUUCCUCAGCUGUUUGUCUGUAGAAGCAUGGACCAGAGAAACAGGGAGAAUGUCCCUAAAAGCUUUCCAAAACUCAUCUUGAGGAAGAAAAUGGGCUUUGCUCAUGCUGCUAGAUGUCUCAUAAUAAGGUUUUGCAAGUGGAAACUUUUCUGCUUAGGAUUUGCAGAGAAUUUGGAGGAAGUGGGUUAAAACCAUGUUUUAUGUCUCUGAGGAUCACUCAGGAUUGGGCCUUUUCAGGGCUUUGUAUUCACUGCCAGGAUGUAAGCAGGAAGAGAGGCCACAAACAGAAUUUCAUCCCCCAUUUCAUUGCCUGCAAGUGAAUAGAAGGGGACCAAAACUAAAUGAACCAGUAUCUUGAAGCAGCAGAAGGUUGUUGUUAGGGUUCAACCAUGGAAUAAAGUGCUGUUAUCAGCAAGCCCAGACAGGACUGGGCAGGUCUCUGCCUCUUGCAGUCCCAGUCUCUCCUUUGCUGCAGAAUUGCCUCCCCAUCCACAUGCAGUCUUCAGCUUAGUUUGAGGAAGAGGAGAAACUAUCAGGAAAGGCAGAAACUUUUACCUUUGGGACCUGAAUUUUAGACAAGGGUCCUGACAAAACCCAGGUCACAGCUAAACACACAUUACAGCCCUGCUCAGUUUUGUAAUUAGUUUUUUCCCUCUUUGGGUCAUGGUGAAAUUGUCUUUCCUUGAAAGACAAGGUCCAGUGUAAAGCAAAACACUUCUUUGCAGCAUCCUGCUCCAACAGAUGAGCUUGCAACACUCCAUCCACUUUUUGUCUGAGAAACUUUUUGGAUAUUUAAUUUGGAAGUCCGUACAAAAAAACCCCAAACCUCCUGCCUUUUUAUGUAACUCACUAGCCCCACAGCUGGCUCUCUGGCAUUGUGGUGGCAAGGAAAUCAGCCUCUUUUUGCUCCAGGGCAGCUCAACAGCAUCCUGUCAGCAGAUGGGAGGGCAGAUGGUGGGGUGUGGAGGGUGCACAGCCCCCACUCCUUGAGCAGAGCCCGCAGAUGCACCUUGCAGCCCUGCCACAUGGAUCCUUGGACCCCAAAACCCUCCUGAGUGACAGGCACGCCUCAUACCAGCCCAUGAAAGAGGGGAGUACCUGAAGGGGUUUUUUUUCCCCACGGGAAAGUUUUUUCCACAAAGCUGGAGCCAAGGGUGCAUUUUGAAGGAAUUUGGGGCUUGAGGGUGAACAUUCCUGGGGGGAGUUUUAGCCAUUGCCUCCUGCUUCUCCCCAUGCUGCUCCUCUUCCACUAACACCUCAGGAUCACACCGAGUAGGAACUGUACAUCCAAGGGAGGUGCAGCAGGCAUGGAGGGGCAAACCUGAGUGAGGACUUCGGGCCUCCACGAUGGUGAGGGUGUUAAUCUUCUCCUGCUCCUCACUGAGGUCCAUUGUAAGUGAAAGGAGAUGCAUUUAGGGGGUGGGUUUACAACUGUUCAACUUUUUUAUCAACUGCUAAUAAUUUGUUGGUGCUGAUGGGUGCUUAUAAAAAUGGAGAUCAAAAGGCAAUUUUAAAAAUCAGCAGCUUGUUAAAUCCGUAAGGCAGAAAAUACAUCUCUAGUGCAACCAGGGGAGGGGUCUGUGUUUUUAAUCAUCUGGUUUUGGGUAUGUGUGCUCCAUUUUGGGCCUUCUCCCCAAGGGAGCAGCUGGCGCCGCGGGAGAUGGGGAUUUUCCACCUCAAAACACUGCCCACAGGGAAGAAAUCUCCAAAUUAGAGAGGAACUUGUUAAAGAAAUGGUGGCCUCUGCACUGCUGCCUUGAGGAGAAAGUGCUCCCCAACCCAUUUGUUUUUGUUGGGGGUUGAUAAACACCCCAUGCCUUUGUUUUUGAGACUGUCCCCUUUUAAGUGAAAAUAAGACUUAUUUUUAUCAGCACUAGCAGUGGACAUGGGGAAGAAACAGCUCCAGAAGUAUCCCUAAACCCUUCCAGAAUUAACCUAUAUGCUGCUUGGGGGGGAGUGGAGGUUUAAAUUUUUCAUGUGUCACCGGUUUGCUGGUUUGGCAAUU